AAACCCAUAUAUGACCCGUUUAAUAAACGGGUUGGUGGGUUGGCGGGUUUAAAACUCAACCCAAACCCAUUUAUUUCGUGUCGUGUUGCGUGUCGUAUCGAGAAUUGCCAGCCCUAAACCUGCUAAUGACUACCACUACAUGACAAUAUAAGACUAGUUUUUUUUCUUCAAUAAACACAUUUCCCCUGUUGCACAAAUUUCAACCAUAUACAAUGUUUCCUAUCGAAAACAAUGAUAGACCACCAGGAUCAUUUUUUGUUGUUAACUCUACACAUAAUGGAAUUUGUAUGUAGUGUCGAAGGAAAAACGGUUUAAGAAAUUAUAAUGUUUUUACUAAUGACUUUCGAUUUUGACCAACUAAACUAUAUAAUUAGAAAUGAACGAAAAAGACAUUUCAGUUAUUGUAGUGUGUCGUUAUAGAAUGUGUUUUUUAAAGUGAAAACCGAAUCUUAUAUUUUUUUUUUUAUUUAUUCAUAAUUUCAAUUUGAAUGUUUACAAUGAAUCAAAGAAUAAAUAAUCAUGAAGAUCAGAAAUCGAUCAAUAAAGAAUAAAAAAUAUGGAUAUCAAGUUAGUAAGCAGGCUUAAAGGAAUCUAGAGGUCUUGCAUUCCACUGAAAUACCAUUGGGAAACCGUUUGCGGUCGUUGCAGUAGUUGUAGAUCAUGUGCUUGGUUUGCACCCAUCGGAUCCUAUUUCGGCCAGCUGCAUCAAGUCCUUGGGUACUCCAUGACUGGUUAUCAUUUAUUGAGCUUGUAGAUACUGAAUUGGGACCAACUUUUUUGGCAUUGGCAUUGAAUUUCCUGUAUAACGCGGUGAAAGGCGCAUUAGUCCAGUCGGUCUUCACACGCCCACCUUGGGUUGCCCAGUCAUCCGCGUUCCACAGGCUGGCAUAAACCCUCAUGGGUUGGCUCUUGGGAAAUGGGACUCCAGCAGCAUCAUUGUUAUUGAACACCCUUACUGGUAUGUUAUCUAUCAAGAAACUGCAGAGACAAAGAGCUUUAUAUAGGAACAGCAGAAAAACAUGAGAAAGGAAGAGAACCAAUUAAUGUUUAUGUUGGAUGCGUGACUUACAUAAUUCUUAGACUGUUCCAUACGAUGGUAUAGGUGUGGAAGGCUGCGGUAGGGUCAAACCAAAGGUGGAACUGCUGUUCUUUGUUUCCUUUCCCUUGUGAAUACACAUUGGUGUGAAUUGUGUAAGGGUUUCCCGUGGAGUUGCCCAAGAACUCGAAGUCGAUCUCAUCGUGACCCGCACCUUGUGAUGACAACUAAUGUGAUUUAAUACAAAGACAUGGUUAUUAUCAGCCUUUAAAAGAUUAAUACAAAUGAGUGAUCACAAUAUAUAUAUAAUUCAGAUAUGAAAUUCAAGAUUGGAACCGAUCGAUGGUACUCACGUAGAAUGUGGUGACGGUGCCAGCAGAAUUGCCUGGUACUAGUUUGAGUUGCAUGUCGAACCUUCCAAACAGGUACUCGUGCUUCGACUGGAAACCCGAUCCAGAGUAUUGGUCGAGUGAAAGUGAAAGAUCCUGACCUCCAUUCAGAAUUUUAGCACGUUCACCCCCAAAACUGAUGUCCAUGUCAUCGUAAAAACUCCCUGCUGAUGCUGCUACUAUUAGAAUUGAUAUUAAAAGAACAACUGCACAAAGAUUAGAGUUCGACUUUGCCAUUAUUGUUUGUAUGGAGAGAGAGAGAGAGAGAGAGAGAGAGAGAGAGAGAGAGAGAGAUGUUAUGUUUGUGAGAAGUAGUACUGAUAUCGUUUAUAUAGAGAGGUGUGGCUCCGUUGACAGUUUUCAAUUGGAACCAUCCUUGUUACUGAAGGAUGUCAUAAUGGCAAAUGGAUGCACCAAUAUCUAUUGACGCGUGCCAACUCACAUUAUUCUUCUGGACAAGGGCAGGAGCGGUGGGUUUUUUUUUCUAUACGUCUGGCAAAUCAAAAGUAGCAAAUUUGUCAUAUUUGGACCGGUGGUUGACAUCAUACCUAAAAUAAAAUUGUUUUAAUUGUUAAUAAGGGAAAAUAAAAUCCAUAAAACUAAUUAAAACUAAAACUAAUUAUAUAUCUGUCAGGUAAAGGGAACCAUCAGCACGGCGGACUACCAACUGAUUAACGAUUUAAUACAUAUCGUCGACAAAUAUAUAUGAAAUCUCGCUAAAUUAUCAAUAUUUUGCCCAUUUCGGUGUUAAAACUUAUUGAUGAUACAACUGUACGCAAAUUCCCCUAACAUCUUCCUUUUCAUUUAGUUUUAUUACCAAAUUCGACCAAUUUAUCCAAAAGAUUUGUGUCCCUCUCCCUCCUCGGCUUCCCCUUUAAAUGAAAACAUCACUUGUACGGAAUGGAGAUUUAUAUGAAAUGGAUCAAACUCAACUCUAUGUACAUUGAAUAGAAAAAUAUGGGAAGGAUAGCUACAAUAUGUUGUUUGAGAUUAUUUAUUUUUGGUUCAUUCAGAACAUUAUUAUUAUAUCAUGUUCAAUUAUAUUUCUUAACUAUCACAAUCUUAAAGUUGAUUAAAAGUCGGCAAAUAUUGAUUUCUUUGGAGUGGUUGGGAUCUUGAUUGAGUUCUUGAAAUUUAAUAGGGAAAGUAAAUUUGUGAUAGGCUUGAACAAGUACAUAGAUGUUAUAAUUUACUGUAGCGUGUGAAACCGAAGAUGACGUUUGAGGACGAGGACACUCCUUAAAGAGGGUAACUAAGAAAUUUACCAUUAUUUGUUUUUUUGAGUUCUCAAAUGUGUUGCAAUCUAAAAUGCAUGUUUAUAGGGAAAUAACAGCAGUUAAAACAAUUUGUCUUAGUCAUAACCUUGUAAUGUUGAUAAUUGAAUAUUUAUAUAUGUUAUAGAUUUUUUUUCUUAAUUUAACGGAUUCAUUGAAAGAAAUCAAGAAAAAAAAUGGUAUCAUGAAUGGGAUGAACAUUUAUCUACCAUGCGAACAUAAUGGAUAUCUAAACGAGGAUUGAAAUUAUCGUAACAAAACAUUACAUUAGUCUGAAAACAACAUGAUAUUUAGUGUCAAACCGAAAUCUAGUAGUUACAUAUGUCUUAUAUCUAUAAAUAUAUACCUAUAUAUCCAUCAGUGAAGGGAACCAAUAAUGAUAGACUUCUAAUUGAUCAACGAUUUAGUAAAGAUCAUAAACAAAGAUAUAUAAAAUCCCGCUAAUAUAGCAAAUUUGUACCUGUUUAGGUGUUAACACUUAUAUGUUGAUGUCUAUUUGAGCCCAAUAUGCAAUUAUUGUAUUUCGUUUUAGUUUUCAUAUUUGCUCGCAUGUUCUAUAACAAAGUUAAAAUUCUAGACUAUAGUUUUAACACAAAUAGUACUUGUUUAUCUUUUUAGUACAACUUACACCUAAAGUUAUUGUGAAGUCUUUCCUUGUAGCCACUCCGCAACAGGAGUCCAUGCUUUGUCUCUAUAGCGACCAUGAAAUGGAAAGGAACACCAGACUCCUCAAGUAACAAUCUCAUCGACAAACACAUAUGAAAUCUCACUAAAUUUCCAACUUUUUUACCUAUUUCGGUGGUAACACUUAAUGAUGAUAAAACCGGAUGCAAAUUCCCCCAAAGAUCUUCUUUUCAUUAAGUUUCAUUACUAAAUUCAAUCAAUUAAUCUAAAAUUGUGAUUUCCCUCUCCUUCCUCGGUUUUCCCUUUAAAUGAAAGCAUCACUUGUACGAAUAAGAGAUUUAUAAGAAAUGGAUCAAAUGCAACUCUACUUGUAUUAAAUAAAGAAAUAUAGGAAGGAAACCUACAAUUUGUUUUUCAAGAUUAUUUAUUCUUAAUUCAUUAUACUUUAUCCAUUAUUAUAUUAUGUACAAUUAUAUUUUUAGCAAUCACAUUCUUAAUGUUAAUUAAAAGUUAUCAUAAAAAGAAAAGGUUGGGAUCUUGACUGAUUUCUUGAAAUUUGGAAGGGAAAGUAAAUUCAUCAUAGGAUUGAUGUUGUGACUGCAAUUUACUAUAGGUGUGAAAUUGAAGAUGUCGUUUGAGGACGAGGAACCUCUUUAAAGAGGCUACAUAAGAAAUUACCAUUUAAUGGUGAUAACUGAAUAUUUAUAUUUGUUAUAGUUUUUUUCUUAAAUUUAACGGAUUUAUUGAAAAAAACCAAGAAAAAAAUGGUAUCAUGAAUGGGAUGAACAUGUAUCUACCAGUGAACAUAACACAUAUUUACACGAGAGAUUGAAACUAUAGUAACAAAACAUUAGAUUAGUCUCAAAACAACAUGAUAUUUAGUUUCAAACCGACAUCUAAUAGUUAUUCAUGUCUCAAAUGUAUAAAUACAUACAAGCAUUAUUAGCUAUUCAACGUUGGCUUCCAGUUCAUUAAGGAUUUAAUACAAAUCAUCGACAAAUAUAUAUGAAAUCUUCCUGAUUUAGCACAUUUUUACCCAUUUUGGUGUUAAAACUUAUAUGUUGCAGUCUAUUUGAGCCUAAUAUGCAAUUAUUGUAUUUUUAUUAAGUUUUCAUUUGUGCUUGCAUCUUCUGUAACAAUGUUAAAAUUCUGGACCUUAUUUUUUAGAUAAAUACACUAAUAGAAAAAUAUCCUUUAAUGACAAGAAUUGCGUGUCAUAGAAGGAUACAUAUGACACGCAAAUGCGUGUCACUGAAGGGCCUAUCAUAAAGGAAGACCAAGCGCAUUUAUGUGUCGUAACCUUACGACACGCAUUUACGACACACAAUGCGUAUCAUUAAAGCUUGUGUCAUAAAGAAAGACAAUUUUAAAGGUUUUAAAAAAAUAUUUUUUUAAAUGGAUUUAAUAAUUUCCAAAUUAGAUGACAAUUAUUGUCUCAAAAUAUAAAAUAGCAUAUCAUUAAAAAAAAGACAAUCCAUUUAAAAAUAUAUAGUAUGUCAAAUAAUAAUAAUCAUUCCAAUGUUUAAAUAAAUGUAAUACAAAAACUAUUUCAUCAUAUCUUAUCAAUUCCCCUAACAAUACACCAUCUCCGAUUAAGACUUGUAUUCAGACCAAUUCACCUACCUCAAACGCAACAAUUGAAACAUGAGACCCAACCGAUCCUUUAUAUAGUCCCUUUGGUCCUUUAUCUUUCCAUAUUAGCCCAGGGACCUCUAAGAUUCACAUGUGUUUCUUCAAUCCAUUUUUUGGUCGAUUCUAUGACACCAAAGUAUGCUACACCUAUUGCAAGAGAUCCAGUUACGCCAGUUGCCUCCUCUCUAUAGAAAAAACAAUACUCAAAAACUAAUAGCAAGUGAUAUAAUAUUAAAUGAAUAAAUGUUUGAUUCGACUAGAGAUUCCAUCAAUGACAGUCACACGUGUGUUUCUCCUUCAUUGCUCCAGGAUUCUUUUCCACUUUCAUUUAAUUUACCAAGAAUCCAAAUGGUUGCAAAUUAAAUAAAACAAGAUUAAUAAAAAAAAAAAGGUUUCUUAUUUCUUUAAUGGGUUACAUAAAAGUCACCAUUUUAGCUUUCAUGGAUUCAUCUUCUAAGUUAUCACAACUGUUAUUAAUACAAAAACCAUGUAUAACAACCUACAUAGUUUUAUCUUCUAUUUCAGGAUGGUAAUAAAAUGGAGAAUCGAUUUGCUAAAUGCACAGUAAUACCAUACAUUUACAAACUCCCCUACAGAAAAUUUAGCAAGCAAAAGCAAACAUUCCAUGAAAAUAAACUAUCUAUAGUCUUUUUCGUAUUAGAAAGCACAAACCUAAAGGAAAAUUAAGAACGCUAACACUAAAUCAUCAAUAAAAAUCGUCAAACUAAUUACAAAGUAACAAUCGGAUUUUGUAACAAAUGAAAACAAUUUCCAAUCAUAAUCAAUAUUUCAAACCUAAAAAGAUUCAAAAAAUAAUAUACUUAUAAAGCGAAUAAGUUAUUACCAAGUUAGAGAGAGAGAGAGAGAGAGAGAGAGAGAGAGAGAUCGGGUACAUUGGAGGCUUGCUGAGGCUUAGGUGACAUCAAUGUUCACUCUAGUCUCUAGUAACGACAUGUACUCCGGCAAAGACAACUGCACAAUGGAGGGAAGAUUUUAGGCGGCCAAGUCAGAGGAGUCAUGAGAGAACGAGUGUUAAUGAAUAAGAAAGAGAGAAUAAGAAAUGAUGUGUGUAAAGGACGAGAUUUAAUGAACCCUAUAAACCUAAACAUUUUGUAGAGCUGCAAAAAGAUGAAAGAGAGAUGCACAACCGCGAAAUGUCAUUAGGUUUCUUCGGUAGAUGAUUGUAUAGAAGAAGGAGGAGACGCAUCAUAGACAUCAAAAUGACGAAUGGGAGAUGAUUAGAGAACAAGGCACCGAGGUUUUUUAAUAUUUUCGGGAUUUCAACCCCCCCCCCCUACUAAUUAUUAAAGGAUGGGAAAUGUGUGUCAUUCUUCAUGAAAACUUACAAAAUGACAUGCUUAUACGACAUGCUUUUUUUUAUAGGUACCCUCCAUGUUUUUUUGUGACAUUAAUUUUAGGGCACGCAAAAAUGUGUCUCCUAAAUGCUUCAAAUUUUGGGAGAGCUGAACCCUUGCAUUAAAAUAAUCCACUAAAGAGGGGGUCCAUAACAUAGCCAUAGUAUAUUUCCAAUGCAAUAAAGUUACGUAGUGUCAUUUUUCUUUCAUAAAGGGGUAUUUCCAUGGGUUUGCCUUCGUAUUGUGUCCAUACCGUUGUAUUGAAUGAUUCGGACGCUUGCUUUCUGUUCAUAUAAUGCAUACAGCUUUGGUCGCUGGUUGGGCCGGUUCUAUGGCCCAGUAUGAAUUAGCAGUUUUUGAUCCUUCUGACCCUGUUCUUGAUCCAAUGUGGAGACAGCGUAUGUUCGUUAUACCCUUCAUGACUCGUUUAGGAAUAACCAAUUUAUGGGGUGGUUGGAGUAUCAUGGGGACUUUUAUGUAUCAUAAAUCAGUGUGUGUUAUGGUUCGCGUGACAUUAAAGGGCUGUUUUUUUAGUAGUGAUAGUACUUUUUAAUCUUUUUAGUACAACUUACAACUAAAGUUACCGAGAAGUCUUUCGUUGUAGCAACUCCGUAAUAGGAGCCCUUUCCUUUGUCUUCAUAGCGACAAUGUGGUUGAAAGAAAGAUCAGGCUCCUCAACUCACAAUAUCCCAGGUGGAAAAUAAUCAACCAAUCUUCUGCCACCUAAACUUAAUCUUUGUUAACCACAUCUCUCUAUAGGCCUUCCUUCUUUCCUACUAUCUUUCCAAGUAUUUGGAAACCAAUUGAAGCUUUACAUAGAUUCAACUUCUGUAGCAUGAUUGCCUUGGAAAACAUGUCUACUAGAUUCUUAGUACCAAGGAUCUUCUUCGGGUUCCGAGUCCAAUGGCUUAUUGAUUGUUUGAUAAACCGUUACUUUAUCUACACAUAUUUUGUUCUAUCAUGAAUGAUUAGAUUCUUUGAAAGGUGAAAUGCACUGUGCUUUUAAUAAAGUAGGACACAGUCUUUUUUUUGCCCAAAUAUAUGAAAAUUUUCAACCAAAUAAGUUCUAAGAAUAAUUUUUUCAAUUUCCAUUCAUUAUGCUUCUAUGGUUAAUAGAUGAAUACUCUUUCCAAAGUGUACAUGGAUAUCCAACUGAUGGUUAUACCCGCAAUGGUAUACAAAAACCCUGUUAUGGUUUUCCCUAAAUAUCUAGAACCUCUCUUAUCUACAUCAUUGAAGCCUUCUAAGACUAGUUUCUUUCUUCUGAAAGGUAAGGUAACCACAUAAGUGCUUUUCAAAUAGCAUAACGACCACUUCAUCCCUUCCUAAUUUUUUUUUCUUGUAUUUUACAAAAACCUGCUACUGCCUCCCACUACAUUACAAUUUAAGAUCUAGUGCAUAACGUAUCAUACAUGAAGUUACAAUUAACUAAGGCGUACGAGACUUUAGUCAUUUCUUCCACAUACAAUGUUUCCUAUCGAAAACAAUGAUAGACCACUAGGAUCAUUUUUUGUUGUUAAUUCUGCACAUAAUGAAGUUUGUAUGUAGUGUCGAAAAAAAAGGAUUUUAGAAAUUAUAAUGUUUUUACUAAUAACUUUCGAUUUUGACCAACUAAACUAUAUAAUUAGAUAUGAACGAAAAAGAUAUUUCAAUUAUUGUAGUGUGCUGUUAGACAAUGCGUUUUUAAAGUGUACAUGGAUGUCAAGUUAGUAAGCAGGCUUAAAGGAAGCAGGCUUAAAGGAAUCUAGAGGUCUUGCAUUCCGCUGAAAUACCAUUGGGAAACCGUUUGCGGUCGUUGCAGUAGUUGUAGAUCAUGUGCUUGGUUUGCACCCAUCGGAUCCUAUUUCGGCCAGCUGCAUCAAGUCCUUGGGUACUCCAUGACUGGUUAUCAUUUAUUG
This 8208-nucleotide long non-coding RNA is filed under the name Lactuca sativa (garden lettuce). Its description in RNAcentral is "long non-coding RNA (LSAT_LNC007521)". Lineage: Eukaryota; Viridiplantae; Streptophyta; Magnoliopsida; Asterales; Asteraceae. The record is from RNAcentral.